Molecule: ribosomal RNA, 484 nt
Filed under: uncultured bacterium
Lineage: Bacteria
Description: partial 16S ribosomal RNA
Rfam family: Bacterial small subunit ribosomal RNA
Source: RNAcentral
GGGGGGGGGGGGGGGGGGGGGGAGGGCGGGCAAGUCGAGGGGAUGAGGGGGGCGUGCGCCUGGAUUCAGCGGGGGGCGGGUGAGUAAUGCCUAGGAAGCUGCCUGGUAGUGGGGGAGAACGUCCGGGAACGGGCGCUAAUACCGCAUACGUCCUGAGGGAGACAGUGGGGGAUCUUCGGACCUCACGCUAUCAGAUGAGCCUAGGUCGGAUUAGCUAGUUGGUGGGGUAAAGGCCUACCAAGGCGACGAUCCGUAACUGGUCUGAGAGGAUGAUCAGUCACACUGGAACUGAGACACGGUCCAGACUCCUACGGGAGGCAGCAGUGGGGAAUAUUGGACAAUGGGCGAAAGCCUGAUCCAGCCAUGCCGCGUGUGUGAAGAAGGUCUUCGGAUUGUAAAGCACUUUAAGUUGGGAGGAAGGGCAGUAAGUUAAUACCUUGCUGUUGUGACGUUACCAACAGAAUAAGCACCGGCUAACUUCGUG